Harpia harpyja (harpy eagle) is the source of this 667-nucleotide long non-coding RNA. RefSeq lists it as uncharacterized. Lineage: Eukaryota; Metazoa; Chordata; Aves; Accipitriformes; Accipitridae. The record is from RefSeq and is a predicted model, not a curated record. The transcript has 2 exons.
AGUUCAGCUUGGACUCAAAACCGGCUUGGUUUUUUUUUAUUUUUUUUUCCCCCCCCCAGGGACUCUACGGGAAUGGGAACUGAGGGGCUGGGUUGGACCGAACCGUCCGUUCGGUCGUGCCGCUCGCCACGCUCCGACGGCUGAACAAAGGCAGAACAGUAGAACAAUCCUUCAGUGAAUAAACAGACAAAGGCAUAAACAAUAAAAGAAAUCAUUUAAUGUCAAUUACGACCGCACCACGCUCAUUAACGAUUACCCACUGGAAAGGCUGGGGAAGGCUGGAGGACAUUUUGGGGUGUGCAUUCACAGAAAGCCUUCGAACGAUGUUUCGCUGCCGUGUUUCUUCAACAGCUGCUCCACGUGAGACGCACAGCUGUACCUGUCAUGUUGCAGUCUGCUUCUGCCUGUCACUGCCAUAGAGCCCUGCUUCAUCUCCUGUGCUUAUUAACAGAUGUGGUUGCAUAAAUGAGGGGAGUGGUGGUCUGAGAUUAUGCCUCCUAAAAUUGUUCAGGGAAAAGAAAACCUCUUUUAUGCCAAGCUGAGGUACCCAAGAACACCAGGUACAAAUUAAGAGGCAAGAAAACAACCAAACAAUUGUUUGGGGAUUUCUCUUCUUUUUGCUAGAAUUAAGAAAUUCUGUAUUUAAAAAUAAUUUGUUGCACCUCAA